UUCAUUAACAAAGACACUGGGAGAGACAUCAAGAGGGUAAAUUAAGAAGGCAUAUUAGAUGACUGUAUAUACUUGAAGGUUCAUUAUGGGAAAUGAAAAAUCAGGGUUGGAAGGAAUAAUCCUGACAGAUGUUAGAAUUUUCUUUUCUUUCCCUUCCUUUUCUUUUCUUUUUUUUACUUCAUUUGGAGAACCUUGCAUUCCUAUAAGCAAGGUACAAGUAAAUCUAUGGGAGAAAAAUCUUAGAGAUGGGACUGCUGGCUCAUUGAGUUUCUUGAUACUUUGUCAAAGACAAACCCAGAAACAGUCACCUCAGGAAGCAUCUACAGGUUGUAACUAAUAACCCUCAAUUCAAAGAAGAAAAAGCCAGAACAUGGCAUAUCAAAGCUGGAAGUUCUGGAAUGUUGCUGCAGACAGUGUUUCUCAAAAUGCUCUCCUCUACCAUCUGAAUCUGAAUCACCUUUGCGGCACAUCUCUACUGAAUUGCAGUUUCUGGAGUGGUUGGCUCACGAAGCAGAUUUUAAGCAAACCAUCUAGGUGAUUCUUAGGCAUAUGGAAAAUUUUACAGCCUUUACAGAUUGUCUUAUCAAACUUGCCCUGACUUACAUAU
Neofelis nebulosa (Clouded leopard) is the source of this 607-nucleotide long non-coding RNA. RefSeq lists it as uncharacterized. The transcript is spliced from 4 exons. NCBI's taxonomy places the organism in Eukaryota, Metazoa, Chordata, Mammalia, Carnivora, Felidae. The record is from RefSeq and is a predicted model, not a curated record.